UACAGAGGGGGCAAGCGUUGUUCGGAAUUACUGGGCGUAAAGCGCGCGCAGGUGGUCUUUCAAGUCAGUGGUGAAAGCCCGGAGCUCAACUCCGGAAAUGCCAUUGAAACUGUAAGACUUGAGGAUGAGAGAGGUGAGUGGAAUUCCCAGUGUAGAGGUGAAAUUCGUAGAUAUUGGGAAGAACACCGGUGGCGAAGGCGGCUCACUGGCUCAUAUCUGACGCUCAGGCGCGACAGCGUGGGGAUCAAACAGG
Molecule: ribosomal RNA, 253 nt
Filed under: uncultured bacterium
Lineage: Bacteria
Description: partial 16S ribosomal RNA
Rfam family: Bacterial small subunit ribosomal RNA
Source: RNAcentral